RNAcentral lists this ribosomal RNA (741 nucleotides) under Triticum aestivum (bread wheat). RNAcentral's name for it is "partial small subunit ribosomal RNA". Lineage: Eukaryota; Viridiplantae; Streptophyta; Magnoliopsida; Poales; Poaceae. The record is from RNAcentral.
AUGCCAGUUCUGGACCCCUCCCACCUUUAUGAUCCAUUCGACCUGUCUGCACUGGAGGUGCCUUUCACUUGGGGCGAAAUUGCAGCAGCAAUUCAGAAUGCACCAAACAACAGGAGCCCAGGGCCAGAUGGGUUCACAAGUGAAUUUUACAAAAGUUUUCUUGGGCUGCUGAAGGAGGACUUCCUGGGGUUUUUCCAAGAGUUUUAUGAGCAUAGCAGUGACCUACUCGGCAUCAACACCGCCAACAUUGCGCUUCUUCCAGAAAAAGAAGACCCAACAGAUAUUAAGGACUUCAGGCCUAUCUCUCUAGUUCAUAGUGUCCCGAAGCUUGUCACCAAGGUGCUGGCAGUGCGGUUACAGAGACUGAUCCAGGAUCUCAUCCACCCCCUCCAAUCUGGCUUUCUCCGAGGACGAUGCAUUAUUGAAAACUUUGCACUGGCAGCCGAGCUAGUACAGCAAGCCAGGAAGAGGAAAGCGCCAAUGAUUGUUCUGAAGCUUGAUUUUCAAAAAGCGUUUGACAGUGUUAGCUGGGAGGCUCUAAAACAAAUCCUUGCAGCAAGGGGCUUUGGGGACAGAUGGAUCAGAUGGGUGGAUGAUAUCCUAGCUUCUAGUUCCUCUAGAAUUUUUAUCAACGGUACUCCCGGCGAAAGGAUCUUAUCAAAGUGUGGCCUACGGCAGGGGGAUGCCCUGUCUCCAUACCUCUUCAUUUUGUUCGCAGAUAUCCUACAACAGCUCUGCUAG